RNAcentral lists this ribosomal RNA (1505 nucleotides) under uncultured bacterium. RNAcentral describes it as "bacterial SSU rRNA". It matches the Rfam family "Bacterial small subunit ribosomal RNA". The record is from RNAcentral.
AGAGUUUGAUCAUGGCUCAGGAUGAACGCUAGCGGGAGGCUUAACACACUGCCNANUUNGAGCGGGAUUCGCCUUCGGGCGAUGAGAGCGGCGCACGGGUGCGUAACGCGUAUGCAACCUGCCUCAUACAGGGGGAUAGCCCAUGGAAACGUGGAUUAAUAUCCCAUAGUACAGCAAUUCCGCAUGGGAUUGUUGUUAAAACCGAGGUGGUAUGAGAUGGGCAUGCGUCCGAUUAGGUAGUUGGUAGGGUAACGGCCUACCAAGCCGAUGAUCGGUAGGGGUCCUGAGAGGGUUACCCCCCACACUGGUACUGAGACACGGACCAGACUCCUACGGGAGGCAGCAGUGAGGAAUAUUGGUCAAUGGGCGAGAGCCUGAACCAGCCAUCCCGCGUGCAGGAUGACGGCCCUAUGGGUUGUAAACUGCUUUUCCGCGCCAAGAAACCCCCCGACGUGUCGGGGGCUGACGGUAGCGCGGGAAUAAGCACCGGCUAACUCCGUGCCAGCAGCCGCGGUAAUACGGAGGGUGCAAGCGUUAUCCGGAUUCAUUGGGUUUAAAGGGUGCGCAGGCGGGGAAAUAAGUCAGUGGUGAAAUACUGCCGCUCAACGGUAGGGCUGCCAUUGAUACUGUUUUUCUUGAGUAUGGUUGAGGCAGGUGGAAUGUGUUGUGUAGCGGUGAAAUGCAUAGAUAUGACACAGAACGCCGAUUGCGAAGGCAACUUGCUAAGCCAUCACUGACGCUGAGGCACGAAAGCGUGGGUAGCGAACAGGAUUAGAUACCCUGGUAGUCCACGCCGUAAACGAUGUUCACUCGCUGUUUGCGAUACACAGUAAGCGGCCGAGCGAAAGCAUUAAGUGAACCACCUGGGGAGUACGAUCGCAAGGUUGAAACUCAAAGGAAUUGACGGGGGCCCGCACAAGCGGAGGAACAUGUGGUUUAAUUCGAUGAUACGCGAGGAACCUUACCUGGGCUUAAAUGUAGGUUGCAUGACUUAGAAAUAGGUUUUCCCUUCGGGGCUACUUACAAGGUGCUGCAUGGUUGUCGUCAGCUCGUGCCGUGAGGUGUCGGGUUAAGUCCCAUAACGAGCGCAACCCCUAUCGUUAGUUGCCAGCGGGUCAAGCCGGGGACUCUAGCGAGACUGCCACCGUAAGGUGAGAGGAAGGUGGGGAUGACGUCAAAUCAGCACGGCCCUUAUGUCCAGGGCUACACACGUGUUACAAUGGCCGAUACAAAGGGCAGCUACCGGGCGACCGGAUGCUAAUCUCUAAAGUCGGUCCCAGUUCGGAUUGGAGUCUGCAACCCGACUCCAUGAAGUUGGAUUCGCUAGUAAUCGCGCAUCAGCCAUGGCGCGGUGAAUACGUUCCCGGGCCUUGUACACACCGCCCGUCAAACCAUGGGAGCUGGGGGUGCCUGAAGUCUGCCACCGCAAGGAGCGGCCUAGGGUAAAANCCGGUGANCUGGGGUUAAGUCGUAANCAAGGNACCAAAGGGCGAAUUCGUAACUCG